This is a small nuclear RNA of Rattus norvegicus (Norway rat), 74 nucleotides long. Ensembl annotates it as U2 spliceosomal RNA. NCBI's taxonomy places the organism in Eukaryota, Metazoa, Chordata, Mammalia, Rodentia, Muridae. The record is from Ensembl.
AUCGCUUCUCGGCCUUUUGGCUAAGAUCAAGUGUAGUAUAGUUACUAUUAAUUUUAGUUUUCAAACGACCUAUC